CAGGGAACUCCAGAAUUGUCUGUGGCCACCUCCUGAUGGGCACACCCACCUUUCAAAUGUGCACAUCCACCUCCCACCAUGCACACCCAUCUCCUGAUUUGCACACCCACCUCCUGAUGUGCACACCCAUCGCCUGAUUUCCACAUCCACAUCCUGAUUUGCACACACACCUCCCACCAUGCACAUCCCUCUCCCCCCAAGGCCUGGCUGUCUCAGAGCUGCCCAGAUUCCCCCCGUUCUGCAUUCCCAGGGAUGGAGGUUCAGAUUCAGCAUUCCCAGGUUUGGAGGGACACCAUUCCCAGGGAUGGAGGUUCAGAUUCAGCAUUCCCAGGGAUGUAGGGACACCAUUCCCAGGGGUGGAGGGACACCAUUCCCUGGGCAGUGCCUGCUCCUGCGGGGCUCCCUGGAGCUCAGCCCCACCGUGCACAGCUUUGUGAGCAUCUCCUGGUGCAGAGCGCCCCCGUCCCCCGCCCGCUGCCCCUGCCGGCGCUGGAGCCCGCAGCGAACGCCCUGGAGGUCAGCCCUGCACACAAUGCCAGAGCCAGGGCUCCUCCCGCAGCCUCCGCUCCAGGACACGAUCACCGACCGGUGCAUUACUCAUGGCAGACCUUACGACCCUCAAAUCUCCGGGUUUUGGUAUUUUUUUAAACCCUGCUGUAGAAAGUGAAGUAUAUUUUCACAAGUGUUCUCCGUUUAUACAGCUUUAAGUGCCAGGUAGUGGGUAGCCUGUUGUUCCCAGAGGUCCAGGACAGGGCCACGCUCCCUCUGCUCCUCUUUCCCUUUUGGAUGUUGCACACUGCAUUCUGUUGAAUUUUUUUUUUAAUUUUAUUUUUUAAAUAUAUCCAAUAUUUAAACCACCAGAGGUUCUUUUGAAACCGUCUGGCAGAAGAUGCUGUACAUAGAUUUUGCUACAUGUUGUAACUUUCUGAAAUAGUUAGAACACCAAUCCCUUUGGUAUUUUUACGUGAAUAUUUUCAAAGAGCCAGAACUUCUGGUGAUAUGAUUUGAUAAUGGGACGAUGUAUAUUCACAGUUCAGUCUCUACCCAAUGCCUAUGUGCUAUCCCUAAAAUAAAGCUACUGCCUUCUGCCUCCUGCCUGCAGAGACCUGUGUUUUCUGUCCAGAAUUGCUGCUGGUGAUGAAGUGAGGAAUUCUACAUCUGGCACUUCUGCACUUGUUAAUAUUGACCCCGACACCUGCAGGGCCCCACCUGGCUGGGCUGGGGCUGGCCUGGAGAGGAACCUUCCUGCACCACAGCAUCCAGGCUGAAAGGAUCAAAAUGAGCAGCAAGUUCUUAAAAUAGUAUGGAUUUUUAACUCCAGCCUUCAGAAGAAAACAUUUCAUGAACUGUAUGAACCAGUGAAUUGUUUCCCUCUG
RNAcentral lists this long non-coding RNA (1376 nucleotides) under Ficedula albicollis (Collared flycatcher). Its description in RNAcentral is "lncRNA (ENSFALG00000028175.1)". The record is from RNAcentral. Lineage: Eukaryota; Metazoa; Chordata; Aves; Passeriformes; Muscicapidae.